This is a long non-coding RNA of Hyla sarda, 691 nucleotides long. RefSeq lists it as uncharacterized. The record is from RefSeq and is a predicted model, not a curated record. The transcript has 3 exons. Lineage: Eukaryota; Metazoa; Chordata; Amphibia; Anura; Hylidae.
GGGAUACAGGAGUUAUUUGAAAGUUGGAAACACCCAAGGUUUUUUAGACGCACGCCCAAAGGAAACAAAGGGAAGAAAAAUGGCAAGUGGGAAUACAACCGAAGGAGCCCAAACAAGAUCAUAAAGGCAUCAGAAGAAAAAUUUGAAUUGAAAUCUCGCCAGAGUUUCUGAUCUAUGUAUUGUGGUGAUGGGAAUUUGUACCAUGCUAGAAAAAGGAGGCCUCUAAAACAUUGCAGACGUUCCUACCAAACCAGCAGUGAACAGAGACGGCCGAAUAAGAGUACUGGUGCAGCUGCACAUGGAAGCCUGAGAAGCCUUAUAUGUCUCCUGCCAACAUCCUGUGGACGAUCUUAACACACUUUGGAGGCAAAAGUUUGUCACGAGCCUCUGUUCCUCUCUUGAUACAUCCCAUGACGUCCCAUGUCAACCGCUGUCUGGCACUGGUCACUAAAGUUAAGUUUACUGUCCACCAGUACCCCAAGUCCUUUUUGUUAGAAGUUUUAACUAAUGUUAUAUUAUUUAGUUUUUACACCCCAAGUGCCAUAAUUAACCUUACAUUAAUCCACAUUAAACUUCAUUUGCCAUGCCUGUGCCCAAGCCUCCAGCUUCCUCAGAUCCCUCUGUAAUAUUAUGUUAUCCUCCUCUGUGGUGAUCACCUUACCCAGUUUAGUGUCAUCUGCAAAUACUGAAA